This 421-nucleotide ribosomal RNA is filed under the name uncultured eukaryote. Its description in RNAcentral is "SSU rRNA". It matches the Rfam family "Eukaryotic small subunit ribosomal RNA", at positions 592 to 1018 of the family's 1831-position model. The record is from RNAcentral.
CAAUAGCGUAUAUUAAAGUUGUUGCGGUUAAAAAGCUCGUAGUUGGAUUUCUGCCGAGGACGACCGGUCCGCCCUCUGGGUGAGCAUCUGGGACGGCCUGGGCAUCCUCUUGGGGAACGUAGCUGCACUUGACUGUGUGGUGCGGUAUCCAGGACUUUUACUUUGAGGAAAUUAGAGUGUUUCAAGCAGGCGCACGCCUUGAAUACAUUAGCAUGGAAUAAUAAGAUAGGACCUCGGUUCUAUUUUGUUGGUUUGCGGAUCGAGGUAAUGAUUAAUAGGGAUAGUUGGGGGUAUUCAUAUUUAAUUGUCAGAGGUGAAAUUCUUGGAUUUAUGAAAGAUGAACUUAGGCGAAAGCAUUUACCAAGGAUGUUUUCAUUAAUCAAGAACGAAAGUUAGGGGAUCGAAGACGAUUAGAUACCAU